Orcinus orca (killer whale) is the source of this 4567-nucleotide long non-coding RNA. RefSeq lists it as uncharacterized. The transcript is spliced from 2 exons. The record is from RefSeq and is a predicted model, not a curated record. Lineage: Eukaryota; Metazoa; Chordata; Mammalia; Artiodactyla; Delphinidae.
UAUUAACAGAUUUUACUACUUUUAAAUCUAUGGUUUUUAUUUUAUUUUAUUUUUUAACAUAUUUAUUGGAGUAUAAUUGCUUUACACUGGUGUGUUAAUUUCUGCUGUAUAACAAAGUGAAUCAGCUAUACAUAUACAUACAUCCCCAUAUCUCCUCCCUCUUGCGUCUCCCUCCCACCCUCCCUAUCCCACCCCUCUAGGUGGUCACAGAGCACGAGCUGAUCUCCCUGUGCUAUGCGGCUGCUUCCUACUAGCUAUCUGUUUUACAUUUGGUAGUGUAUAUAUGUCCAUGCCACUCUCUCACUUCAUCCCAGCUUACCCUUCCGCCCUCCCAUGUCUUCAAGUCCAUUCUCUGUCUGCGUCUUUAUUCCUUUAUUCCUGUCCUGCCCCGAGGUUCUUCAGAACUUUUUUUUUUUUAGAUUCCAUGUGUAUGUGUUAGCAUAUGGUAUUUGUUUUCUCUUUCUGACUUACUUCACUCUGUAUGACAGUCUCUAGGUCCAUCCACCUUGCUACAAAUAACUCAAUUUUGUAAAAUUAUGUUUUUUAAAUAUUUCAUUUUAUUCUACUUAUCAAGUUUAUGUCAAUUAAUCUGAGGUACAUUUUACAACAUCAAGAAAGAAAAAUGUUAAUUCUCCUGAAAGCAAUAUUCUGGUAAGAGUAUUAUAUAAAUUUAUUUGAAUGAGUUUUUAACCUCCAUUAUUUCUUUUAAUUAAAGAUACAAUAUCAUUAAAGCAAACCCUCCUACCCUGUUGAUGGGAAUGUAAUUGGUAAUGGCCACAAUAGAGAACAGUAUGGAGGUUCCUUAAAAUGUAAAAUUAGGGGCUUCCCUGGUGGUGCAGUGGUUGAGAGUCUGCCUGCCGAUGCAGGGGACACGGGUUCGUGCCCCGGUCUGGGAAGAUCCCACAUGCCGCGGACAAGCUGGGCCCAUGACCAUGGCCGCUGAGCCUGUGCGUCUGGAGCCUGUGCUCCGCAAUGGGAGAGGCCGCAACAGUGAGAGGCCCGUGUAACGCAAAAAAAAAAAAAAAAAAGUAAAAUUAGAACUGCCAUAUGAUCUAGCAAUCCCACUCCUGAUCAUAUGUUUGGAAAACUCUAAUUGGAAAAGAUACGUGCACCCCAACAUACAUGGCAGCACUGUUUACAAUAGUGCAUACAUGGAAGUGACCUAAAUGUUUAUCAACAGAUGAAUGGAUAUAGAAGAUGACAUAUACAUACAUAUAUCACACACACACACACACACACACACACACACACACACACACAAAAUGGAAUAUUACUCAGCCAUAAAAAAGAAUGAAAUCAUGCCAUUUGUAGCAAUAUGGAUGGACCUGGAGAUGAUCACACUAAGUCAAGUAAGUCAGAGAAAGACAAAUAUCCUAGGAUAUCACUUAUAUGUGGAAUUGAAAACAGUGAUACAAAUGAACUCUUUAACAAAACAGACAUAGAUUCACAGACAUCAAAAACAAACUUAUGGUUACCAAAGGGGAAAGGGGAAGGCGUAUAAAUUAGGAGUUUGGGAUUAAAAUAUAUACACUACUAUAUAUAAAAAAAAGAACAAGGGCCUACUGUAUAGCACAGGAAACCAUAUUCAAUAUCUUCUAAUAAAUAGAAAAGAGUCUGAAAAGGUGUGUGUGUAUAUGUAUACACAUAUUUUUUUAUAUAUAUAUAUAUACACACACACACACACAUAUAUAACUGAAUCACUUUGCUGUACACCUGAAACUAACAGAACAUUGUAAAUCAACUAUAGUUUAAAAACUAUAGUAUCGGGACUUCCCUGGUGGUGCAGUGGUUAAGAAUCUGCCUGCCAAUGCAGGGGACAUGGGUUCGAGCCCUGGUCUGGGAAGAUCCCACAUGCUGCGGAGCAACUAAGCUCGCAUGCCACAACUACUGAGCCUGUGCCAUAGAGCCCGCAAGCCACAACUACUGAAGCCAGAGUGCCUAGAGCCCAUGCGUAGGCAACAAGAGAAGGCACUGCAAUGAGAAGCCCGCGCACAACAAUGAAGAGUAGCCCCUGCUUGCCGCAACUAGAGAAAGCUUGCGUGCAGCAACGAAAACCCAACGUAGCCAAAAAUAAAUAAAUUUAUAAAAAAAAAGUCGACAAACUUAUGGAUUCCCCACUCCAAUAUUAUCUUGUUUACAUUUUUCUGUCAUUAUCCACAUACACGAAUAUUCUCCUUGUGCAAUUUUCUUAUUGAAGUAUAGUUGAUUUACAACAUUGUGUUAAUUUCUGCUGUACAGCAAAGUGAUUCAGUUAUACCUAUAUGUAUACCAUAAAUGAACAUUCCUUUAAAUAAUUGUGGUAGAUAUUUAAAUGCCAUACUAGAAUCUAUUUCAUUUUCCUUUAAAUAGUUCAUAUAUUUGCAGAAGUUAGCUAAUCAUUUUUAAAAAUUGUAUAUUGUAUUUCAUCAAGUUGACUUGUAACGUAUUACUUCAACAGAAUAGACUUAUAUCCUGAGUUUAUAUCAGAGUUUUCAUUCACACAACAUGCACAUCUGGAAAAGGUGGUGUCCCCAAAAUGUAAUUAGCUUCUAUAUUUCACAGUAGGCUUUUUGGCAGGCUAAUUCACCCUAGGCUAAUUUGACGUGAUGUUAGAGACCUUACCAUGAUCUGGUAAGAUCCACUUUGGGUGACACAAUAAUCACAUCCCACUGUGGGAUGAGGUUGCCCUCCUGUCCCCCAGACCAUGUGAUCACUCUCCAUAGCAUUCUCAGCUUCAGGGACACCAGCCAGCCAAGUCUCUCUUCUCAGGCCUGAGCUGGAGAUCUGGGGAUACACUUCUGGGGAAGCCCCUUCUCUCAUUUCUCUUUCAAAACCUUUGAAAAUGUUCUCUUCAUUCUCCUUCCAUUUGAGUAUUCUCUGUCAUCUUUCUCACGUAUUAUCUUACUUUCUAUUUUUCUCAUUGUUCUCUUUGUUUAACCCAUGUCAAUUUUUAUUCUCUCACUACCUUUUCUUAACCAUCCUUCUCUUUUCCUACUAAGACCAUUGCAUUCUUUUUAUUUCUUUUCCUGUUUUCUAAAGCCAUCCUACUCUUGAAACUCUGUAAAUUGUUCCACCUUUGCUCUCUGACCUCUAUUUAUUCUAGUUGUCAUAGAUGCUUUCUGAGGGGUUAUAUAGCAAUUUGGUCAACGUUGCUGUCGUCAGAAUCCCCAGGUUCAACCAGCUCUGCCUCCACCCACGUGCCUGACCGUGGUGAGGGCUUUUGCCUCUCCUCCCAAAGACCGGCCUCUAGAGGCCGAAAUCACCCGAUGCAGGUCAACUGCCUGAGCAGCACCAGCCAACAGCAAAAGUGGAGGGGUGGCUAUAUUGUCUUUGCUUGACAUUGAUUCUUUAUUGCUCAGCUCCUGUCCUGUCCCCCCUCCUCUGUCCUUCCCGAGCCUGCCCCUCUCUCUGCCCGUAUCCUUACCAUCCAUUGCUUUCUUUCCUUACGUUGUCCUAGGCUCUGUACUCACUUUGCUCUGUUCCCAUUUCCAGCUUUUCCUAUGCUUAGAAAUUAUGGAGGUUCGGUUUAAUGCGCCUGUUCUCACUUCUUGUCUCAUACGUUAAUGUCAUCAGGUCUACUUAAUGCAUCACUGCAGUGCCAGCUGCUGCACAUCCCUCUCUUUUCCUUGCCCUGUUUCCCAUCCAUGUGUGCCUGCUUAUCAGUAAACUGGCUGAAUUUCCUUACAAAGGCCUCCUCCUGUCUUGUCUUUUUGCCUCCGUGACUUUACACACCCAUUUCCUCUCACAUUCCUUUUCUGAUGCUGUUCUAUUAUUUUUGUCUCCUCUCGCUUCCCUCACCUUAGCAUAUUUUCUAUCACAAAAUUCCUUCCCCCACCUCUAAUUCUUUGAAUCAACUCUUCCUUCUUCUUAUUCAUUUACUCCUGCGUUGCUUUUAACCUUAGCUACAGCUGCCUCACUUUGUGUCUCAUUUCAUUUUAACUGUGAAAAAAAUCUCUUCUUCUUGUAUUUCCUUUUUUACUCUCUCCUCACACAUUUCCAUCAAAUUCGCUUCUUUAGCUCUCUCUCCACUCCUGACACGCCCUCUUCUACACUUUCCCCUCUUUGGUGCUCUUUUUCUAAUAUCUGACUUCACACUCUCACCCUCACUAUGACUCUUCUGCACUGUGCUGGUUCCAGUUAUCCCUCCAUGAUUUCACUUACUGAUAUAGUAAGAAUUUAUUGGAUCAAGAUAGCAGAAUAGAAGAACACAGGGCUUACCUCUCCCCACAAAGACAUCAAAAAUACACCUACAUGUGGAACAAUUCUCACAGAAUACCUACAGAACACUGGCAGAAGAUCUCAUACAAUCAAAGCUGCAAGAAAGAUCACCAUGUAACCGAGUCAGAAAUAGAAGUAAGAUGAAGCAGCAGAGAAACCACUCCCAAUUAAAAGAACAAGAAAAAUCCCCUGAAAGAACAAUGAAACAGAUUCCUCCAGUCUAUUAGACCUCAAGUUCAAAAGGGAGGCAAUAAAAAUGCUGAAGGAAUUAAGAAAGGCUAUCAAUAGAAAUGCAGUUCCUAUAAUAGGAAGGUAGAAACUGUAAAAAGGAGCCAAUCAAAAUUAGACAACUCAGUUGCCUACAUGAAAA